This 286-nucleotide ribosomal RNA is filed under the name uncultured Synergistaceae bacterium. Its description in RNAcentral is "partial 16S ribosomal RNA". It matches the Rfam family "Bacterial small subunit ribosomal RNA", at positions 1100 to 1382 of the family's 1533-position model. Lineage: Bacteria; Thermotogati; Synergistota; Synergistia; Synergistales; Synergistaceae. The record is from RNAcentral.
AACCCCUGCUGCCAGUUGCCAACGGGUGGAAGCCGGGCACUCUGGCGGGACUGCCAUCGACAAGGAUGGAGGAAGGUGGGGAUGACGUCAAGUCAUCAUGGCCCUUAUGUCCAGGGCGACACACGUGCUACAAUGGCCGGCACAGCGGGAAGCGAGGCAGUGAUGCCGAGCGGAUCCCUUAAAGCCGGUCUCAGUUCGGAUUGAAGUCUGCAACUCGACUUCAUGAAGCUGGAAUCGCUAGUAAUCGCAGAUCAGCCAAGCUGCGGUGAAUACGUUCCCGGGCCUU